AUUGAACGCUGGCGGCAUGCCUUACACAUGCAAGUCGAACGGUAGCACGGGAGCAAUCCUGGUGGCGAGUGGCGAACGGGUGAGUAAAGUAUCGGAACGUGCCCAGUCGUGGGGGAUAACGUAGCGAAAGUUACGCUAAUACCGCAUACGAUCUAUGGAUGAAAGCGGGGGACCGCAAGACCUCGCGCGAUUGGAGCGGCCGAUAUCAGAUUAGGUAGUUGGGGGGGUAAAGGCUCACCAAGCCGACGAUCUGUAGCUGGUCUGAGAGGACGACCAGCCACACUGGGACUGAGACACGGCCCAGACUCCUACGGGAGGCAGCAGUGGGGAAUUUUGGACAAUGGGCGAAAGCCUGAUCCAGCCAUGCCGCGUGCAGGAUGAAGGCCUUCGGGUUGUAAACUGCUUUUGUACGGAACGAAAAGGUUUGGCCUAAUAAGCUGAGCUCAUGACGGUACCGUAAGAAUAGGCACCGGCUAACUACGUGCCAGCCGCCGCAGUAA
This 500-nucleotide ribosomal RNA is filed under the name uncultured bacterium. RNAcentral describes it as "partial 16S ribosomal RNA". It matches the Rfam family "Bacterial small subunit ribosomal RNA", at positions 30 to 523 of the family's 1533-position model. The record is from RNAcentral.